RNAcentral lists this ribosomal RNA (28 nucleotides) under Tulasnella sp. HWE-01. RNAcentral's name for it is "partial 28S ribosomal RNA". Lineage: Eukaryota; Fungi; Basidiomycota; Agaricomycetes; Cantharellales; Tulasnellaceae. The record is from RNAcentral.
CACCAAGUCUGCCUCACAAGCAGUACUA